RNAcentral lists this long non-coding RNA (204 nucleotides) under Capsicum annuum. Its description in RNAcentral is "long non-coding RNA (CANN_LNC016999)". Lineage: Eukaryota; Viridiplantae; Streptophyta; Magnoliopsida; Solanales; Solanaceae. The record is from RNAcentral.
AACGGUCUAGCGAAUUAUGGUGGAAAGGUUAAAUUCUAUUUUAUUUAUGAAUCAUAUUUUUCGUAUAGUUGCAUGUCGAUCUUUGCUUUGAAUUGCUACAUGUUCUGUAGUUUUGACAAGGUAACUUAACUUGCUUUUGUUAAUUAUUGAUUUGCCUUUUUGUGUGUUCGAUACUAACCAUGGCAGCAGCUAUAGACAAAUACA